GGUGUCGGGAAACCGAUGAAAAGGGAAACAGGUGAAAAACCUGUGCGAGCUCGUCACUGUAAGCUGAUAAGCGAAAACCGGGGGAAACAGGCCCCGGCCACUGGAAACGGGAAGGCGUUUUCGCGGAACAUCAGCGAGCCAGGAGACCUGCCGGCUGUUC
RNAcentral lists this non-coding RNA (160 nucleotides) under bovine gut metagenome. The record is from RNAcentral.